This 236-nucleotide ribosomal RNA is filed under the name uncultured bacterium. RNAcentral describes it as "partial 16S ribosomal RNA". It matches the Rfam family "Bacterial small subunit ribosomal RNA", at positions 15 to 248 of the family's 1533-position model. The record is from RNAcentral.
GAUCCUGGCUCAGGACGAACGCUGGCGGCGCGUCUAACACAUGCAAGUCGAACGAGAGAGAAGGAGCUUGCUUCUUCGAUCGAGUGGCGAACGGGUGAGUAACGCGUGAGGAACCUGCCUCAAAGAGGGGGACAACAGUUGGAAACGACUGCUAAUACCGCAUAAGCGCACGGGAUUGCAUGAUCCAGUGUGAAAAACUCCGGUGGUAUGAGAUGGACCCGCGUCUGAUUAGCCAG